GGACAACAUGCCCUCGGGAGGGGGAUAACCCCGCGAAAGUGGGGCUAAACCCCCAUAGGGGAUGGAUACUGGAAUGUUCCAUCUCUGAAAGUCCGCAAGGAGCUCGAGGAUGGGUAUGCGGCGGAUUAGGUAGUUGGUGGUGUAACGGCCCACCAAGCGUAAGAUCCGUUCGGGCCAUGGGAGUGGGAGCCCGGAGAUGGACCCUGAUACAAGGGUCCAGGCCGUACGUGGCGCAGCAGGCGCGAAACCUCUGCAAUGCGGGAAACCGCGACGGGGUCAGCCGGAGUGCCGAUGCUUGCAUCGGCUGUCGGGGAGCUUAAAAAGCUCUCCAAGCAAGGGCCGGGCAAGGCCGGUGGCAGCCGCCGCGGUAAUACCGGCGGCCCGAGUGGCGGUCACUAUUAUUGGGCUUAAAGCGUCCGUAGCCGGGUUGGUUAGUCUCCCGGGAAAUCUGGCCGCUCAACGGUCAGAAUUCCGGGAGAUACUGCCAGCCUAGGGACCGGGAGAGGCCGAGGGUAUUCCCGGAGUAGGGGUGAAAUCCUAUAAUCCCGGGAGGACCACCUGUGGCGAAGGCGCUCGGCUGGAACGGGUCCGACGGUGAGGGACGAAGGCCAGGGGAGCAAACCGGAUUAGAUACCCGGGUAGUCCUGGCAGUAAACGAUGCGGACUUUGUGUUGGACAAGCUAUGAGCUCGUCCGGCGCCGGAGGGAAACCGUUAAGUCCGCCGCCUGGGGAGUAUCCCCGCAAGGCUGAAAGUUAA
RNAcentral lists this ribosomal RNA (757 nucleotides) under uncultured Archaeoglobales archaeon. RNAcentral's name for it is "bacterial SSU rRNA". It matches the Rfam family "Archaeal small subunit ribosomal RNA", at positions 102 to 859 of the family's 1478-position model. The record is from RNAcentral. Lineage: Archaea; Methanobacteriati; Methanobacteriota; Archaeoglobi; Archaeoglobales.